UGGUCAACAGAGGGAGGGCAAAGCCGCGAGGCAGAGCAAACCCCUAAAAGCCAUCCCAGUUCGGAUUGCAGGCUGCAACCCGCCUGUAUGAAGUUGGAAUCGCUAGUAAUCGCGGAUCAGCAUGCCGCGGUGAAUACGUCCCCGGGCCUUGUACACACCGCCCGUCACACCAUGAGAGUCGGGAACACCCGAAGUCCGUAGCCUAACCGCAAGGGGGCGCGGCCGAAGGUGGGUUCGAUAAUUGGGGUGAAGUCGUAACAAGGUACC
RNAcentral lists this ribosomal RNA (267 nucleotides) under uncultured bacterium. RNAcentral's name for it is "partial 16S ribosomal RNA". It matches the Rfam family "Bacterial small subunit ribosomal RNA", at positions 1234 to 1500 of the family's 1533-position model. The record is from RNAcentral.